Molecule: long non-coding RNA, 373 nt
Organism: Cyprinus carpio carpio
Lineage: Eukaryota; Metazoa; Chordata; Actinopteri; Cypriniformes; Cyprinidae
Source: Ensembl
UCAUAAUUGUGUACUAGGAAUCUCCAUAACUCAUUUUAGUGAUGUGGCUAGGUGUGACAUUAUUGACAUUCCCCCACAUGUUAUGUUGCCAUGCAGACACUGAUAUGGUCAGUGGGUCAUUCAAAACAAUAUCAGAAAACAUUUGGUCAGUUGCCAUGGAGAACCACUUCAACAUAAUGCACUAACCAGUGCCCUACACACGAGACUGGGUCAACUCAUCUUCUUGAGAUUAUAAAUGCUGAAGGUGAGGUUAACAGAAACAAACAGAGAAAGAGCAUUGUGGAGGACAGAAAUGGUGGCGCUCAAUGUAAGAUGAGGAAGAUGUUGAUGUGUAUGCAUGCACAAUCUACAGUGAGGACUGGAGUCUGCUAGG